Molecule: ribosomal RNA, 251 nt
Filed under: uncultured bacterium
Lineage: Bacteria
Description: partial 16S ribosomal RNA
Rfam family: Bacterial small subunit ribosomal RNA
Source: RNAcentral
AAUACGGGACGCAGCAGUAGGGAAUUUUCGUCAAUGGGCGCAAGCCUGAACGAGCAAUGCCGCGUGAACGAGGAAGGUCUUCGGAUCGUAAAGUUCUGUUUAAGGUUAAAAAGAUCGGAGAGAGGAAAUGGUCUCCGAUUGAUAUUACCCUUCGAGGAAGUCACGGCUAACUACGUGCCAGCAGCCGCGGUAAUACGUAUGGUGCAAGCGUUAUCCUGAUUUACUGGGUGUAAAGUUAUCUUCUACUUUGU